GAAGACCAACCCCCUUCCACGCUCAUCUUCUCCCUCCCCGGGUUCCUCUCCCCCAGGCAGGGCAAGGAAUUCGUCUCGCAAGACAAAUGGCCGUAUGAGAUACCGACUACAACAAUGUUUGUCUUCUCCAUCUCCCAUCAAGUGAUAAGCUGGUAGCAACCUUUGCUGGCUUCCACAUCAUCUAUCGUAUCAGAUUUACAGGUUUAAUUUUUCGUGUAUGCUGCGAAUUUGUGUUUUGGUUCCUUCUCCCCUGUCCUUAGAUGUGUUGCUUUCAUUCUGUAACUGAGUAUGUGGAAAAGUGUUUUUCUGUUGUCCUGUAUAUGUGGAAACUGUUUUUAGUUUUUGCAGAAGGAUGGAAACUGAAUUAGCACUUAUGUUGAAAUCAUGGAGUAUAUGUCACAAAUUUCGUCGGCAUGCACAAACUUCAUACUGUUUUGAUCAUGUUCUCAUUUGCAAUAUCCAUUUUCUGAGUUAUUUACUGAAAUAUGAAUGUUUUUCUUCAGUUCUGCUACAAUCUGGAUUCAAGGUAAUUGAUGGGGAUAAUCUUAUUGACUGAUGCAGGAUUGAAUGCUGUCGAUGACUGAAUGGGUCCUAGCAAUUUGUCUUAUUCGAUAUCCAGAUUAGUAAUAAGGAUCAAAGUUGUUGGCAUCCUAUUUUCAUAGUAUCUAUGGAACAAAAGAUGGCUUCACAUUUUACAUCUGAGAAGAGGCCUUCUUGCUCUUAGAAAUCUUAGUAGUGUCACACGUGAUGAAAAGAAGAGGAAAAAAUUUGUCAUGUAUGGGGACAGUAAAUUAACCUGCCUACUGUAGGUCAGUGUUUCACACAUCUUCUAUUGGUCCACUAUGAGGUUGGGCAGUUGGGCUUCUUGGAGGAAACUAAAUGAUAUCUACAAAUGCAGCAGUCGUGGGGACAUAAUGGAUCUCACAUGUUGAAAUUUCUUAGAUAGUUUGUACUAUUUAGAGAUAGAAUGUCUGAAAAGAAAAUGUAUGUAAACUCGAAUGUCUUUUCCAAGUGUGGUUCCACCUUAUGUAUGCUUAAAGCUUUCGUCAACUUUGUCUUUCCAAG
Long non-coding RNA from Lolium perenne, 1065 nucleotides. RefSeq lists it as uncharacterized. The record is from RefSeq and is a predicted model, not a curated record. NCBI's taxonomy places the organism in Eukaryota, Viridiplantae, Streptophyta, Magnoliopsida, Poales, Poaceae.